UUGGCCGGGCGACGGUUGUCCCGGUUUAAGCGUGUAGGUGUGUGUUCCAGGUAAAUCCGGUUCACUUUAACACUGAGGCGUGACGACGAGGCACUACGGUGCUGAAGCAACAAAUGCCCUGCUUCCAGGAAAAGCCUCUAAGCAUCAGGUAACAUCAAAUCGUACCCCAAACCGACACAGGUGGUCAGGUAGAGAAUACCAAGGCGCUUGAGAGAACUCGGGUGAAGGAACUAGGCAAAAUGGUGCCGUAACUUCGGGAGAAGGCACGCUGACACGUAGGUGAAGUGAUUUACUCAUGGAGCUGAAGUCAGUCGAAGAUACCAGCUGGCUGCAACUGUUUAUUAAAAACACAGCACUGUGCAAACACGAAAGUGGACGUAUACGGUGUGACGCCUGCCCGGUGCCGGAAGGUUAAUUGAUGGGGUCAGCGCAAGCGAAGCUCCUGAUCGAAGCCCCGGUAAACGGCGGCCGUAACUAUAACGGUCCUAAGGUAGCGAAAUUCCUUGUCGGGUAAGUUCCGACCUGCACGAAUGGCGUAAUGAUGGCCAGGCUGUCUCCACCCGAGACUCAGUGAAAUUGAACUCGCUGUGAAGAUGCAGUGUACCCGCGGCAAGACGGAAAGACCCCGUGAACCUUUACUAUAGCUUGACACUGAACAUUGAGCCUUGAUGUGUAGGAUAGGUGGGAGGCUUUGAAGUGUGGACGCCAGUCUGCAUGGAGCCGACCUUGAAAUACCACCCUUUAAUGUUUGAUGUUCUAACGUGGACCCGUUACCCGGGUUGCGGACAGUGUCUGGUGGGUAGUUUGACUGGGGCGGUCUCCUCCUAAAGAGUAACGGAGGAGCACGAAGGUUGGCUAAUCCUGGUCGGACAUCAGGAGGUUAGUGCAAUGGCAUAAGCCAGCUUGACUGCGAGCGUGACGGCGCGAGCAGGUGCGAAAGCAGGUCAUAGUGAUCCGGUGGUUCUGAAUGGAAGGGCCAUCGCUCAACGGAUAAAAGGUACUCCGGGGAUAACAGGCUGAUACCGCCCAAGAGUUCAUAUCGACGGCGGUGUUUGGCACCUCGAUGUCGGCUCAUCACAUCCUGGGGCUGAAGUAGGUCCCAAGGGUAUGGCUGUUCGCCAUUUAAAGUGGUACGCGAGCUGGGUUUAGAACGUCGUGAGACAGUUCGGUCCCUAUCUGCCGUGGGCGCUGGAGAACUGAGGGGGGCUGCUCCUAGUACGAGAGGACCGGAGUGGACGCAUCACUGGUGUUCGGGUUGUCAUGCCAAUGGCACUGCCCGGUAGCUAAAUGCGGAAGAGAUAAGUGCUGAAAGCAUCUAAGCACGAAACUUGCCCCGAGAUGAGUUCUCCCUGAGACUUUAGGUCUCCUGAAGGAAC
RNAcentral lists this ribosomal RNA (1376 nucleotides) under Salmonella enterica. RNAcentral's name for it is "partial 23S ribosomal RNA". It matches the Rfam family "Bacterial large subunit ribosomal RNA", at positions 1487 to 2836 of the family's 2925-position model. The record is from RNAcentral. Lineage: Bacteria; Pseudomonadati; Pseudomonadota; Gammaproteobacteria; Enterobacterales; Enterobacteriaceae. RNAcentral also lists the same sequence under 1 other name.